RNAcentral lists this long non-coding RNA (1029 nucleotides) under Piliocolobus tephrosceles (Ugandan red Colobus). RNAcentral's name for it is "lncRNA (ENSPTEG00000002203.1)". Lineage: Eukaryota; Metazoa; Chordata; Mammalia; Primates; Cercopithecidae. The record is from RNAcentral.
AUGUCAUGUGAUCGUAUAUGGAAGUUUGUAAAGGAAUGUUGUACUGGAUGUAUCAUUGAUAAGACAGGAACAAAAGCGUUUAACGUUUUCCUGUCUAUCAUGAAAAAAGUUAAUAACUUAGAUGAUUAUUAUAUACAUAAAGAUUUAUUUCUUAGAUAUGUAAAUAUUAAUGAUGAUAGGAGUAUAGGAUCUUGUGAAAAUUCCAGUUUAUACAAUAAUAGCGUUAUGGAAGGAAAAGGAGAAAAAGCUAAAACAGGUAUUAAUUUUUUAUUUGAACGUAUAAAAAAUCAGGGAGAUUUAUACACAGACUCUCAUAACACUAUCAUUAAUGAUAAUAGAAAAAUUUACCGUAUUUACGAUAGUAUUGAGAAGUGUUAUAAUGGUGGUGGUGGUGGUGACAGUAGUGCGGAUUACUACCCUUAUAGUAGUUGCGGCAAAGAUAAUGAUUAUACUAGUGACACUGGUAGUGACACUGGUAGUGACACUAAUAGUGACACUGGUAGUGACACUAUUAGUUAUAGUUUUAAUUACAGUGGAGCUAUCGAAAAUAGUGAGAAAAAAUAUAUCAAGAUUGUUAAUCCUUGGUAUUACCAUAAAAAACUGAUAAGAAAAUUACGUGAAGAAGAUUUGAAGUUUGUAUUUAUCUAUGAUAAAUGGAUUUCGUAUAGAGAUAUACCGAAGGCACGACAUGUAUAUAUGAAUCAACCAAUUACUCCUGUAUGCGUUUAUAAUAACAUACUCAAUGCAUAUAUUAUUGACAAAGAUUGGUUGAAGUAUCAAAAAAACAUGGAUCAAGAUUCAGAACAUGAUGAAACAACAUGGAUUAUGCAUGAUAUUUGCGUGGAUUAUGAUAGAAAACUAGAAUUACACCCUGAAUUGGGUAAUGCAAAACUAAUUAUACAACAUCUUAAUAAAUAUAAAAGGAAGAUAGCAAAAGAUAUUGAAAUCAAAGGUUGUAGUUAUACUCUAUCUUAUUCUGAUAUAGUAAAAGCUAGAAAAAAAGUAGAACAUAAAAUAGUUCUAGGUUAA